UACAGAGGGUGCAAGCGUUGUUCGGAAUUAUUGGGCGUAAAGCGCGCGUAGGCGGCCCUGUUAGUCCGCUGUAAAAGUCAAAGGCUCAACCUUUGAAUGCCGGUGGAUACUGCAGGGCUAGAGUCCGGAAGAGGCGAGUGGAAUUCCUGGUGUAGCGGUGGAAUGCGUAGAGAUCCGGAAGAACACCGGUGGCGAAGGCGGUCUGCUGGGCAGUUGCUGACACUGAGGCGCGACAGCGUGGGGAGCAAACAGGG
This 254-nucleotide ribosomal RNA is filed under the name uncultured bacterium. RNAcentral describes it as "partial 16S ribosomal RNA". It matches the Rfam family "Bacterial small subunit ribosomal RNA", at positions 524 to 777 of the family's 1533-position model. The record is from RNAcentral.